RNAcentral lists this ribosomal RNA (498 nucleotides) under uncultured bacterium. Its description in RNAcentral is "partial 16S ribosomal RNA". It matches the Rfam family "Bacterial small subunit ribosomal RNA", at positions 28 to 507 of the family's 1533-position model. The record is from RNAcentral.
GACGAACGCUGGCGGCAUGCCUAACACAUGCAAGUCGAACGGAGAUUACUUCGGUAAUCUUAGUGGCGAAAGGGUGAGUAACGCGUGGGCAACCUGCCCUCUAGAUGGGGACAACAUCCCGAAAGGGGUGCUAAUACCGAAUGUGACAGCAAUCUCGCAUGAGGAUGCUGUGAAAGAUGGCCUCUAUUUAUAAGCUAUCGCUAGAGGAUGGGCCUGCGUCUGAUUAGCUAGUUGGUGGGGUAACGGCCUACCAAGGCGAUGAUCAGUAGCCGGUCUGAGAGGAUGAACGGCCACAUUGGGACUGAGACACGGCCCAGACUCCUACGGGAGGCAGCAGUGGGGAAUCUUCCGCAAUGGGCGAAAGCCUGACGGAGCAAUGCCGCGUGAGUGAUGAAGGAAUUCGUUCCGUAAAGCUCUUUUGUUUAUGACGAAUGUGCAGAUUGUAAAUAAGAAUCUGUAAUGACGGUAGUAAACGAAUAAGCCACGGCUAACUACGUG